AGAGAUUGGGCUGAGCACAGAGGAAAGGA
Molecule: non-coding RNA, 29 nt
Filed under: Cricetulus griseus (Chinese hamster)
Lineage: Eukaryota; Metazoa; Chordata; Mammalia; Rodentia; Cricetidae
Source: RNAcentral